RNAcentral lists this unclassified non-coding RNA (520 nucleotides) under uncultured Scutellospora. Its description in RNAcentral is "SSU rRNA". It matches the Rfam family "Eukaryotic small subunit ribosomal RNA", at positions 569 to 1095 of the family's 1831-position model. Lineage: Eukaryota; Fungi; Glomeromycota; Glomeromycetes; Diversisporales; Gigasporaceae. The record is from RNAcentral.
AGCAGCCGCGGUAAUUCCAGCUCCUAUAGCGUAUAUUAAAGUUGUUGCAGUUAAAAGCUCGUAGUUGAAUUUCGGAGUUCUACCGUCGGUCGGGCUACCAAGUCUGUACUGGUGUGUAGAAUUCCUACCUUCUGGGGAACUAUCAUGUUAUUAAUUUAGCGUGGUGGGAAACCAGGACUUUUACCUUGAAAAAUUAGAGUGUUCAAAGCAGGCUUAUGUCUGAAUACAUUAGCAUGGAAUAAUAGAAUAGGACGGUGGACCUGUUUUGUUGGUUUCUGAAUCACCGUAAUGAUUAAUAGGGAUAGUUGGGGGCAUUAGUAUUCAAUUGUCAGAGGUGAAAUUCUUGGAUUUAUUGAAGACUAACUUCUGCGAAAGCAUUUGCCAAGGAUGUUUUCAUUAAUCAAGAACGAAAGUUAGGGAUCGAAGACGAUCAGAUACCGUCGUAGUCUUAACCAUAAACUAUGCCGACUAGGGAUCGGACGAUGUUAAAUUUUAUUGACUCGUUCGGCGCCUUACGGGA